Molecule: ribosomal RNA, 253 nt
Filed under: uncultured bacterium
Lineage: Bacteria
Description: partial 16S ribosomal RNA
Rfam family: Bacterial small subunit ribosomal RNA
Source: RNAcentral
UACAGAGGGUGCAAGCGUUAAUCGGAAUUACUGGGCGUAAAGGGCGCGUAGGCGGCCUUCUAAGUCGAACGUGAAAUCCCUAGGCUCAACCCAGGAACUGCGUCCGAUACUGGAAGGCUUGAAUCCGGGAGAGGGAUGCGGAAUUCCAGGUGUAGCGGUGAAAUGCGUAGAUAUCUGGAGGAACACCGGUGGCGAAGGCGGCAUCCUGGACCGGUAUUGACGCUGAGGCGCGAAAGCCAGGGGAGCAAACGGG